UACGGAGGGGGCGAGCGUUGUCCGAAGUUACUGGGCGUAAAGCGCGCGUAGGCGGGGAACCAAGUCCGCUGUGAAAGCCCGAGGCUUAACCUCGGCGGGUCGGUGGAUACUGGUUCUCUUGAAGGUGCUAGGGGGAGAUGGAAUUACCGGUGUAGCGGUGAAAUGCGUAGAUAUCGGUAGGAACACCAGUGGCGAAGGCGGGUCUCUGGGCAACUACUGACGCUGAGGAGCGAAAGCGUGGGGAGCGAACAGG
Molecule: ribosomal RNA, 253 nt
Filed under: uncultured bacterium
Lineage: Bacteria
Description: partial 16S ribosomal RNA
Rfam family: Bacterial small subunit ribosomal RNA
Source: RNAcentral